Molecule: ribosomal RNA, 501 nt
Filed under: uncultured bacterium
Lineage: Bacteria
Description: partial 16S ribosomal RNA
Rfam family: Bacterial small subunit ribosomal RNA
Source: RNAcentral
AUUGAACGCUGGCGGCAGGCUUAACACAUGCAAGUCGAGCGGGGGAAGGUAGCUUGCUACUGGACCUAGCGGCGGACGGGUGAGUAAUGCUUAGGAAUCUGCCUAUUAGUGGGGGACAACAUCUCGAAAGGGAUGCUAAUACCGCAUACGUCCUACGGGAGAAAGCAGGGGAUCUUCGGACCUUGCGCUAAUAGAUGAGCCUAAGUCGGAUUAGCUAGUUGGUGGGGUAAAGGCCUACCAAGGCGACGAUCUGUAGCGGGUCUGAGAGGAUGAUCCGCCACAAUGGGACUGAGACACGGCCCAGACUCCUACGGGAGGUAGCAGUGGGGAAUAUUGGACAAUGGGGGGAACCCUGAUCCAGCCAUGCCGCGUGUGUGAAGAAGGCCUUAUGGUUGUAAAGCACUUUAAGCGAGGAGGAGGCUACUUUAGUUAAUACCUAGAGAUAGUGGACGUUACUCGCAGAAUAAGCACCGGCUAACUCUGUGCCAGCAGCCGCCGUAA